Molecule: ribosomal RNA, 665 nt
Filed under: uncultured bacterium
Lineage: Bacteria
Description: bacterial SSU rRNA
Rfam family: Bacterial small subunit ribosomal RNA
Source: RNAcentral
GCUGGCGGCGUGCCUUAUGCAUGCAAGUCGAACGGUUCCGAUUUAUCGGGAUAGUGGCGAACGGGUGAGUAACGCGUAAGUAACCUGCCCCCAAGUAGAGGAUAACUCCGAGAAAUUGGAGCUAAUACUGUAUAUGGUAGUGGAGGUAAUGCUUCAUUACUAAAGCCUGCGGGCGCUUGGGGAGGGGCUUGUGUCCGAUUAGCUAGUUGGUAGGGUAAUGGCUUACCAAGGCGAUGAUCGGUAGCUGGUUUGAGAGGACGGUCAGCCACACUGGGACUGAGACACGGCCCAGACUCCUACGGGAGGCAGCAGCAAGGGAUAUUGUGCAAUGGGCGAAAGCCUGACACAGCGACGCCGCGUGAGGGAUGAAGGCCUUCGGGUUGUAAACCCCUUUUCUCAGGGAAGAAUAAUGACGGUACCUGAGGAAUAAGUUUCGGCUAACUACGUGCCAGCAGCCGCGGUAAUACGUAGGAGGCUAGCGUUAUCCGGAUUUAUUGGGCGUAAAGAGGACGUAGGCGGUCUUGCAAGUUGGAUGUAAAAUCUCUCGGCUUAACUGGGAGGGACCAUUCGAUACUGUUGGGCUAGAGGGCAGCAGAGGGAGGUGGAAUUCCCGGUGGAGUGGUGAAAUGCGUAGAUAUCGGGAGGAACACCAGUGGCGAAGGCGG